GAGGAAGGGAAAUUGCAGAAGCGAUGAGCAUCAACUCUCGAGAGAAUAUCGGAGAGUAACUUCAGAGUCUUUUGGCGGAUCAAGUCAUCGUCUGGAAUUGAGGGGUUCUCCAGGAGGAAUUACUUACGAGAACCUAGAGUUAGAGUUAGUAAAAUCUUUAACCCGAAAGAGAAGAGAGAGUAGAGCCCAGAGUAUAGGAAAGGAAUAAAAGAUACUAAUACCACCCAAUUGAGAUGUGGGCCCGUAAGCCAUAGCAUCAGUAUUAGUAAGUUUUUCAAACACUAGACUCAACUUCGGCCAAGGAGUUGGAAAGGGGCUACCUACAGGCAGUCGACUCUGAUACCAACUUGUGACGCCCUCGAUUUAAUCAUAUGCUAAUCAUACACGCAAAUGCGUACGAUCAAACUCAAGGACUCACGAGAAGAUAUCACAACACAACUCUAGACACAAAUAAAACAAUAUUAGCUUCAUAUUACAAGCCAGGGGCCUCGAGGGCUAGAAAACUGAAGCUCUAUAAACACACGAGUCAGCGGAAGCAAAAAUAUCUGAGUACAGACAUUAAACAUGGCGUUCCUUAGAGAAGGCUAGCACAAAAGAAACACGAUCGAACAAGGCGAGGCCUCCUGCCUGGGAACCUCCUAACUACUCCUGGUCUUCAGCGGCCUCCGCGAAGAAGUCACCAUCAGGAUGGCAGACAUCGUCGGUGGGAUACUUCAUCUCCUGGGCUCCAUCAUCUGGUCGCAACAACGGAUCAAGGGGGCAAAGGGGGAGCAAAGCAAAGGUGAGUACUAAUCCAAAGUACUCACGAUACUUACAUCAGAACUAUGCUAAGUAUGCAUCAGUAUCAAAGAAGGGGGGUUAUAUGUGGACUUACUGCAGCAAUGCGAGAAUAGAGAGAGAAGGCCUAGUCCCAUCGAAGACUAGCAUCUUCAGGGUCUUGCAGCAAUAGAAGAGAAUAGAACAAGAUAACACAAUUAAUAGUCAUAUUGUUGCAGCAAUAUUAAUAUGAGGUCACGCCCAGAGAUCCUCCCUCGACUCCCUGCAAGGAAGCAAUCUCGGGGGAACAGAUCCAGUUAAGUAACAGUUGUAGUUGUAUAAGAUGAGGGCACAACUCCAAGUCGUCCUGUAACCGUGGACACAGCUAUUCGAAUAGAUAGGUUCUUCCCUGCAUGGGUGCACAACAUAUUCCCCGACUCGCUCGAUAACACUCUGGCCUAACACACUUUUCUGGGUCAUGCCUGGCCUCGGAAUAUCGACACGUCCCAGCCCCACCUAAGCUCAGCAGAGAGGCCAGCCCGCCGGUCUAACUCCUAAGCACAAAGGGGUCGUGGGCCCACUUGCCCUCCGUGCUCCUGCACGAUGCGAGGGUGGCCGAUGUCAGUCCUAGCACCCCUUAAUACAAGAGCAAUGCAUCUGGGACCACUCGGGCGCGCGCCGCUACAUCGCUGACAUCUGAACAGCUUCGGUUGAUACCGCGACGUCGAGUACCCAUAAUUCUUCCCACGCAGACGGUUAGUGCGAAAUAAGGCCUUCCGACCAACCCAGAUCAAAUACCGAAAUCGACACAAACACGCGGGAAUCCACCCGCCUAACAUCUAUUCAUCAAAGAUCCCAGUAACAUGGUCAAGUAACUAUGUGGUAGAAACAUCAGGGGGAAUCCGAGGUAUCACCCUCGUUGGAUCCCGAAUGAUGUAACCGUCAAGGUGAACCUAGAGGAAUCACCCUCGAGGGUCCCACACUUGAGGGGUUGCACGACAGAGGCAUCGUCGAGAAUGGUGAAAGAGGAAUCACCCUCGAUAACCAUGACCGACUAGCUCUACUACAGAGAUAUCAUCAGGAGUACUUCGCGAGGUGUCACCCUCGGUACUCGAUAGUAUCUCUGUAGCACCGCACAACUAAGGGGGUGUAAGUGUUGUGUUGGGUCUGGCUCGUCGAUCAGGGAUCGAGACUUGAAAACAAAGCGGGGCAACUGGACUACGGGGUCAGAGGGGAUGACUGCUCCACCUAUACUAAACAGUUUAAAGGUACAGUACUGAAAGUAGCAGUUCAUCAAAAAUAGGCUAUGCAUCAGAUGUAGGAGCUAACUACAAAAGUAGCAAAAUUCUAUUGCAAGAAUGAGGAAGAAAGAAUAGGCGAUAUAGGGAUGAUCAAGGGGGUUUUCUUGCCUUGUUGCUCUGCGGCAAAGGGAUGAUCGGCGGGAGGGUAGGUGCACCCAGCAGCAGCGUCAGUCUCAGGGUCUACCGGUAAGAAGAGGGGGGGAACAAUAAAUAAAAGCAACAGGUGCAACACUAAUCAUGACAUGACAAUACGCAGGCUAGGCAUGAUCUAACGCAGUAACAUCCGCCAUAGACGGGUCGGGAAAAUAUCAGAUGAUAUUUCCCGGGUCAUUGGCUACUACCGGACAGACUAAAAACGAUGGAAAAGUUCCACGUUUGCGAUGCUAGGGUCGCGCGACACACGAAUGGACCGCGUACCCGGUUCGUCUCGUUGUGCUGAUCAACUUUCUUGUUGAAAAUAUUUUGAUUUGACUUCGAUUUAUUUUAUAUUAAUUUAAAGUUUUAUUAAUUAUUUAGGAAUUAAAAACAGAUUAACUUAAUUAUUUAAAUACUAUUAUGACAUCAGUAUGAUGUCAUGCUGACAUCAGCAGUUGACUGGUCAACUCACCAGUGGGUCCUUCAUGUCAUUGAUACAGUUUAUUAAUUAAGGUUCAAUAUUAGUUAAUCAAAUUAAUUUAAUGGGGGACCCACGUGUCAUACUCUAAUAGAAUAAUUUAAUUAUCCUAAUUAACAGAUUAUCUAAUUAAUCUAUUUACUUAAUUAACUAAUUAAUUGAAUAAUAUAUCUAACUAUUUAUUUAUUNNNNNNNNNNNNNNNNNNNNNNNNNNNNNNNNNNNNNNNNNNNNNNNNNNNNNNNNNNNNNNNNNNNNNNNNNNNNNNNNNNNNNNNNNNNNNNNNNNNNNNNNNNNNNNNNNNNNNNNNNNAUAAGAGACAGUGCUAACUCUGUGUGCUAACUCUAUCUCUCUCAAGAGAGAGAGAGAGGAGGAGGCAACCUCCACCUCCACCUACAGGAGCUCAACGGCGUCGGAACACGGUGGUGUUUGCCGGAACGGAACCCGGGCGGGGAAAGGAAGGAAGGGGUGGCGGGAGGAUCCCGAAUGGAGGGCUCACCGGCGUUGCCGGGGAUGAGGGCGGCAAGGCUCGGGGUCGGCCAUUGUGGAGGAUGACGAGGAGGCCGGUGGCGCGGUUCCGGCGAGGAGGAGCCGUUAAGGAGGAGCGUCGGAGAGCAUCNAGCGGCGCCGGAGUGGCACGAGGAGAGGAGCCGAGGGGUGGUGGCGCUGGGAUCCGGGGAGAGGGCGACCGGGAGAGGAGGGGUGCGGCGAGGUGGCGCCGAGCGGAAGGCGUCGGCCGGCGGGGUAGGAGCGACGGUGAGACGAGGGAAGGGAGGGAGCGACGGGAGGGGAGGGAACCAGGGGGUUCCCUCGUGAGGGUCAGUGGGAGCGACGGGUGGGAGGAACAAACGCGAUUGGUAGGGGUGACGAGGGUCUCGGGAUCCCACGAGGGGAGAGAUGGGGCCCUGGGGCGUUCCC
RNAcentral lists this long non-coding RNA (3586 nucleotides) under Hordeum vulgare. RNAcentral's name for it is "long non-coding RNA (HVUL_LNC021038)". Lineage: Eukaryota; Viridiplantae; Streptophyta; Magnoliopsida; Poales; Poaceae. The record is from RNAcentral.